This 1372-nucleotide long non-coding RNA is filed under the name Neogale vison (American mink). Its description in RNAcentral is "Neovison vison (American mink) lncRNA (ENSNVIG00000000497.1)". Lineage: Eukaryota; Metazoa; Chordata; Mammalia; Carnivora; Mustelidae. The record is from RNAcentral.
CUGACGGGCAAGCAAACUGUUGCUUUUCUCCUUCCGUUGGAACCAAAACAAGGAGGGUUGGAGAAGCACGGGAAUGAGCUGUAGCAAGAGGCUCGACAAAUGGGUCUUUGGGAAGAAGCUGGUGGAGGAUCGGAAUUGAUUGCCGCGACCCCCGCUUCUGAACUUGAAGGCGGAGAAGGUGGGUCACGUGGGCAGAACGCACUUUCCCUCCAGUUCGGUGCCCGCGUCCUACUUGGAAAAUCCCCGAAGAUCGCGGUCGUCUGUCAAAUUCCGCAAACCCAUGCGGUCGCCCCUUGGGGCAGGAGAGCCGCCGCCUCAACUCCCAGAACGGAGUUUUUGUUCUACAAGCAAAUACGUGUCCACUGUCGGUAGGGAAUGUUAAGGGAGAAAAAGCCCUUAGCUUUCUCUUCUCCCGCCGAAAGAUGCACUGAAAAAUCUCCGCAGUUGUGUAGCGUGAAUUGUCCGUUUUCGGGGUCCUGAAAGAGCAGUUCAGUGGUAGGUAGGUUCUGUGUGUAUUUUGGAAAAGCAAACGAGGGACCGAAAUCAAAAUUCAUAGGAAAGUUUGUGGUAGGUCCAGUAAUUAAUUGAUAAACUCGUUAUUGUAAAAAUACUGAACGGAACAUUUACAUAGGUCUUGGGGGCUUGUAGCAGCCUGGUUAUAGGGGUGACAGGAAAAGGAAGAGUGGUCCAAGUAAUCCAUCUUUUUAAGGGAAUUGCAGGUACUGUGCAUUCUACACACCAGUCACAUACGUGGUAAGAUCAUUUUUUUCUGUCCCAUUGUCAAGAGGAGUCCUACAACAUCAGACUAAAAUGUAAUGCCACAACCUACAUGUAAGGUAAAAAAUUAUGGUAUGUCCACGUGAUGGUAUUUGUUAUGCAGCCAAGAAAAAUCAUUUUGUGUAAUAUUUAAUUGUAUGCAGUAUGUUUAAGCGUAUCGAAAAAAAUUUAAUGUGACACCUGAACAGUGGAGUUACAGGUAAUUUUUAUUUAACAUUGGAGAUCUUUGGUAAAAUUUGAGUGAAAUAGUCAUUUCCAGAGGAUCUUUGCCUUCUUUUAUAAGCACAUUUAUUUAAGACAGGUUAAAAAAUGAAUAUACAAUUUUAAGUUUCCAUAAAUGUGAAAAGGCACUGCUUCAGAUAUGUGAAUUAUAAAUGUUUGCUGGCCACAUAUGAGUGAAAAAUGGUUAGCUUCCUGAGUAAAUGCAAGAGUCUUUAUACUAGAGUGAUUGGUACUAGACGGUCCCCAAAAUUGCUUACCAAUAGAAUGAAUUUUAAACAGUUUUUGAGAAAUUAGAAGUAUAGACAAGACUGAACAUCUGUGUGGGUAAAACAGAUAUUGAAUACUGAACCAGAUUUUUAAAGACGAAACCAUG